RNAcentral lists this transfer RNA (73 nucleotides) under Sus scrofa (pig). It matches the Rfam family "tRNA". From Rfam's summary of the family: Transfer RNA (tRNA) molecules are approximately 80 nucleotides in length. Their secondary structure includes four short double-helical elements and three loops (D, anti-codon, and T loops). The record is from Rfam by way of RNAcentral. Lineage: Eukaryota; Metazoa; Chordata; Mammalia; Artiodactyla; Suidae.
UCCCAGGGGGCCUAGUGGUUGAGGACUGGGUAUUGUCACUGCUGUGGCUCAGGUUCAAUCCCUGGCUUGGGAA